GCCCCGCCCCCACGUGGCCGGGGGUCGCGCCCCUCGGAGGCCGGCGGUCUGCGCCUCGCUGGGCUGCGCCCACGUGGGUCCCGGGCGGCGGACCCCACACCCGGACAGAGCCCGCGGCCUCCUGCCCCUCCCGGGCCGGGGGAGACCUCCCUCUCGCCGUCCGCGAUGCUACCACGUGUCCAUCUUUGAAAAAAACGAGCGCCUAUCUGAACCCCCCCAGGAGCAGAGGCUGCAUUUGAGUGUGUAACGCGCAGCUCCAAGGCAGAUGCCUGAUGACCAGAGCCAAGAAAGAAGAGCCUGUGAAAUGGUGGCUUUUGUUUGGCUGACAAGUCUAAAGGGAUUGGGAGCUCCAGAGGGAGAGACUGGCUGGUGAAGGGGAGAAGGCCCUGUGGUGACCGCAGUUAGGUUGUGUAGACUCAGAGGCACUACGAUUUGUGACAAUUGGAACAGUCUUCUAAUGGGUCCUCGGUAUUCAGAGAUUCAAGCCCAGUGCACUUCAACCGCCAAACUUUUAAGUAAACUGUCAGGCCAAGGGUCCCUCCAGCUAUGUUUUUGGAAUCGACUUUCAGAACCUGAUUACCCAAUUCACCAUUUACCUGCUGGAAGAUGACCCUCUCAGCCUACACUCCACAGGCUCUGCUUUUGGCAAAGAUGCCAGUUACUAUCAUGUGGAGACCACGAGGAAGUUUCAGAAAAGUGUUUUCAAAUACAACCUAGAGGAAGCGGCUUAUGAGAUUGCUGUAUCAUUGCUGCUGGAGAAAAAAAAUCGUGUUAAAUGUGCUUCUUGGCUCCUCCAAAGACAUCAUGAGUCUUCAGUCUCAUCCACGCAGCAUCCUUCCUUGAGGACCCUGGUCAGCGUCCUCCCUAACUGUGCUGCCAGCCCCCACUCACCCAGACCUCACUCCAGCCCC
This is a long non-coding RNA of Bos taurus (domestic cattle), 911 nucleotides long. The record is from Ensembl. NCBI's taxonomy places the organism in Eukaryota, Metazoa, Chordata, Mammalia, Artiodactyla, Bovidae.